GGAGGCGUCGCAUAGUGGCCCAGUGCGCCCGCCGGCUAAGUGGGUUGGGAUUAACCUCCCUCGCGGGUUCAAAUCCCGCCGCCUCCG
Molecule: transfer RNA, 87 nt
Filed under: Actinomycetales bacterium
Lineage: Bacteria; Bacillati; Actinomycetota; Actinomycetes; Actinomycetales
Description: tRNA-Ser
Rfam family: tRNA
About the family: Transfer RNA (tRNA) molecules are approximately 80 nucleotides in length. Their secondary structure includes four short double-helical elements and three loops (D, anti-codon, and T loops).
Source: RNAcentral